RNAcentral lists this ribosomal RNA (253 nucleotides) under uncultured bacterium. Its description in RNAcentral is "partial 16S ribosomal RNA". It matches the Rfam family "Bacterial small subunit ribosomal RNA", at positions 524 to 776 of the family's 1533-position model. The record is from RNAcentral.
UACGGAGGAUGCAAGCGUUAUCCGGAAUGAUUGGGCGUAAAGGGUCCUGAGGUGGCUGGCUUAGUCUACUGUGAAAGAUCAGGGCUUAACCCUGAACAGGCGGUGGAAACUAGCAAGCUAGAGUACGGUAGGGGCGGAGGGAAUUCUCGGUGGAGCGGUGAAAUGCAUAGAUAUCGGGAGGAACACCAAUGGCGAAGGCAGCUCGCUGGGACGGUACUGACGCUGAGACGCGAAAGCGUGGGGAGCAAACAGG